UAAGUCGGAUGUGAAAUCCCUGAGCUUAACUUAGGAAUUGCAUUCGAUACUGGGAAGCUAGAGUAUGGGAGAGGAUGGUAGAAUUCCAGGUGUAGCGGUGAAAUGCGUAGAGAUCUGGAGGAAUACCGAUGGCGAAGGCAGCCAUCUGGCCUAAUACUGACGCUGAGGUACGAAAGCAUGGGGAGCAAACAGGAUUAGAUACCCUGGUAGUCCAUGCCGUAAACGAUGUCUACUAGCCGUUGGGGCCUUUGAGGCUUUAGUGGCGCAGCUAACGCGAUAAGUAGACCGCCUGGGGAGUACGGUCGCAAGACUAAAACUCAAAUGAAUUGACGGGGGCCCGCACAAGCGGUGGAGCAUGUGGUUUAAUUCGAUGCAACGCGAAGAACCUUACCUGGUCUUGACAUAGUAAGAACUUUCCAGAGAUGGAUUGGUGCCUUCGGGAACUUACAUACAGGUGCUGCAUGGCUGUCGUCAGCUCGUGUCGUGAGAUGUUGGGUUAAGUCCCGCAACGAGCGCAACCCUUUUCCUUAUUUGCCAGCGGGUUAAGCCGGGAACUUUAAGGAUACUGCCAGUGACAAACUGGAGGAAGGCGGGGACGACGUCAAGUCAUCAUGGCCCUUACGACCAGGGCUACACACGUGCUACAAUGGUCGGUACAAAGGGUUGCUACCUAGCGAUAGGAUGCUAAUCUCAAAAAGCCGAUCGUAGUCCGGAUUGGAGUCUGCAACUCGACUCCAUGAAGU
RNAcentral lists this ribosomal RNA (743 nucleotides) under uncultured bacterium. RNAcentral's name for it is "bacterial SSU rRNA". It matches the Rfam family "Bacterial small subunit ribosomal RNA", at positions 584 to 1326 of the family's 1533-position model. The record is from RNAcentral.